GACGAACGCUUGCGGCGUGCCUAAGAAAUGCAAGUCGAGCGGGGGUGGGGGUUUCGGCCCCCGCCCUAGCGGCGAACGGUCGCGUAACACGUAAGCAACCUGCCGGGGAGACCGGGACAACACCCCGAAAGGGGUGCUAAUACCGGAUGGGGCCGCGGGGGGGCAUCCUUCCGCGAUCAAAGCCUGGACAAGGGCUUCCCGAGGGGCUUGCGGCCUAUCAGCUAGUUGGUGGGGUAACGGCCUACCAAGGCGACGACGGGUAGCUGGUCUGAGAGGA
Molecule: ribosomal RNA, 277 nt
Filed under: uncultured bacterium
Lineage: Bacteria
Description: partial 16S ribosomal RNA
Rfam family: Bacterial small subunit ribosomal RNA
Source: RNAcentral